Molecule: long non-coding RNA, 1871 nt
Organism: Capra hircus (goat)
Lineage: Eukaryota; Metazoa; Chordata; Mammalia; Artiodactyla; Bovidae
Source: Ensembl
GUUCAGUUAUGCUUGUGAAUGAAUGAAUAAAGGACUGAAGGGAGUUGUGGGGACAAGAAGUACUGGGAACUAACAUUUAUUUAUGAUCACUGUCAUUGUGCCAGGCAUGGAGCAGAGCUAACCUAUAUUAUCUCAUUUGAUUUUAUAAGACUAAUAAGAAUUUUAUGUUCUUCAUUUUACAGAAGGAAAAAUUAAACCAGAGGAACUAUCUUGUCAUUCAGCCAUCAGACAUAGAGCCUGGCUUCAAACUCAACUCUCAUUCCAAAACGUGUGUUGAUUUCAAGACAACAUGUCACAAUAGUAAAAAACUUUCUUGUCUCCUAACUUCAUCUGGAAUAAAUGCAGAUCUGCUCAGCUUGUUUGAAGAAAGCGUUAUGACCCUGAAUCCUGAGAAGUCUUUAUUUUAUAACAUAACUUUAAAAAUGAAAGCUUCACAUGUGAGAUAAAUGCACUCAGAGACUCCUCACAAGUAGCUCUUUGGAGCUUCAGAUGUGAAAUGGAUCAUUCCUCAAUCUGUAAUAGACCCUUCUGUGAAGCUCUUCAAUCAAACCUGAGAAUUCAAGGGGAAAUUGAGGGGAGGAUGAGAAACCCCUACAGGGGGAUUUGAGUGAAGUAGUUGAGAGAAAACCUGGAGUAUUUGCUGCAUCUUUUUUUCAGUUCUUUUCUUGAGCAUGUAGGAAGACUGUCAAUCACUGUGCAACCUUACCUGCUAUAUGUGCGUCGUACCUGGGUAUAGCGAGAAGCUAUGGAGGACUCCCGCUACGCAGGCACCUGUGAUUCUUUUCCACUAGUCGUUUUUCCUGACAGCCUUCAGGUUAUUUUUAAAGUGGCUAUUUUAAUAUAGAUUUAUUAUUUUAUUAUUAGAUGUUCUCUUUCCAUGAGAUUAUUUAUAUUAUUAGUUGAUAGGAUAAAUUUUUUUUUAAUCUUUUGAGAAAAGCAUAAACAAUCUUUUAAGAAAGUUAGUGAAGAAUGAUAACUAGUUGGAAGAAUUGUCAUAUUUUGUUAAGUGAUGAUCCUGGUACGUACAUCUUAUUUAGAACUCAUGUUUGUAGAUCAUGUAAUGACUUUUAAUUAGUUUGUUUUCAGUAAAGCAAGAAGACAGAUUUACCCCUACUAAGGGAAACAGCAUUGCUCUGAAAUUAGUUUUUAUGUCACAAUUUUUAUUCAUUUGGGGGCACAUUUUCAAUUGGAUAUUUCUAGGUUAAUGAAAAGAAACUCUAGAUUUUUCAGUGGGCUAUUUAGUUUGGGGGAACAGUUAAUCCUGACAUAAUAAAACCUGUGCUUUGGAAUUUAUGCUCAAAUAUAGAAUAUGUUUAAUAAUAGUUUUUGGUGCUGAAGCUGCUGUGAAAUGAUUGCUAUCCCCUAUCUGUGUCAUAAUUUCUCAAAGCCAUGGAGAUGGUGUUGUUUGUAAAGCUUGAAUAUUAGUGUAAUCUUAAGAGCAUAUUAAUUGCCCGGGAGGCUUACAUAUUUGUUCUUCGCAUGUGAUUAAAGAUCACGGCAGCUUAUACAGCAUAAUUUUAGAGAUGGAGAAAAUGGCUAUUGUAAUACUUGCUACUCUCAGUUUCCUCUACAGCAAUGCCCUUACACCUUUCUUUUUCAGGCGUUUUGUAGCAUCCUAAACAGAAGGAUAUUGAAGGGAGCUGAUUCUGCUUUGAUCCUUGUGCUUGUUGUCAAAGCGCUUGGGAUUGAAGAGACUGUUGGCUACAAUUGACUGUGACAAUUAGGAGAUGAUCAGAGCCCUAGAGUGGAGCACUUAAAGGGUAAUUUACAUGUCAGUUUGUCGAAUAAAAAAAAAGAAGAUAUUCAGCUAAGAUUUUUUUCCCCUCAGAGCCUUGUAAACUGCAAUUUGUGCUCUGGUAAGAAAAACCUGG